GUUUGAAAUGAUUUCCCCUCCUUCUUCCCUGACACAAAGGUCUCCUGGGGAGGAACUGGUUACCGAGUCGAAAAAAAUGCUUGAAUCAGCAUGCUGUAAGUUGGUCAAAUGCAACUGAACUCUGUGUCCCCUAAACUAUACCUCUGCUCACUGAAAGCCGUUCAUAGCACUGUUCAGACAAAUGGCUGGUGACUGGUUUUCCACUCAUCUCUUGAAGAUAUCAGUAUCUAGAAGAUUCCUGUGAUCUGUUCAGCUUUGGAAGAAAAAGCACAGGAUUCCUGUGAGGCUGCAGGAAUUCAAGGCUGAAGAGAAGAGGAAUCAGAGAGGAAGCCUCACAGUUAUGGAUCGGUCUGGUUCUCACUGGAUCUCAAAGGAAAAAGGUUUGCUGUUUCUGCUGAGAGUUGAGCCAUGUCCUUCUACUAGAUUUUUUUCCAAGUGCAAGCACUGGGCUCCAUGGUUUUCCUGAUGUCUUGUGUGAUGAGAAAUUGCUUGCAAAACAUUUGCCCUUGUAUGUCUACAGCCCAAGCUGGAAAGUUACACUGCAGUAUAUGGAAUGUGUGGGCUGGGGGCUGCCAACAGCUCUCUCUGCUUCCAUUGACCAAGGAGAUGUAUCUGGGAAAAAAAGAACAAAAAAAAGAAAAAGAAAAAGAAAAAGAAAAAAAAAAAGGUGACAAAUGAAUCAAACUGAGGGAGGGCUUUACCUGGGAAAUAUAGCCCCAGGUUUUCCACAACUGAAGUAAUUUUCCAUGGUAAUUGGAGAAAGAACAUCAGCCAGCUACAGAAGUGUGAGAACCAUCUUCAUUUUUCAUUCCUGGCCAACUAUUUCUCUUGUUGUUUUUAUGGUCUCUGUGAGAGUAAUGUAGCCUGUGAGACCUCGGUUGCGUAGGUUUGCCAGAUACAGUUGAAGCCUACUCCAGGUAGGCACAUAUUGCAUGUACCAGAAGUGAGGAAAAACAUACUUGUUAAUAGCGCUGGUACAAAGGGGAGAAAUUAAUUUUGAACGUAUGAAGAUGCAGCAGAGGUGGGGGAGGAACAAACAACUGAAAUAGUGAUGCUUUUUGCAAGGAAGUGGAAAUCAUGUCAAAACUCUUGAGACCUGGGAAACAAAAUGUUAAACGUCUUACAGCAUUGAAGGCAAGACAAAAGGAAAUACAUUCAGCCCAAUCCUUAGCUCUGCUGCAUUACAGAAGGUGCAGGUUACUGUAAGUGCCUUCUCUGUUAAUUACUGUGACAGGUCUAUUUGUAAUGGGGUCCUCUUUUGUUGCUCCAGCAGCUGGGCAUUAGUCAGGUCAUGUGUGGCUGUGAGUGACAGCUGAUGCCUGCAUGAGGAGCAGCUGAACCACAGAAGGGCGAUGUUGGGUGCUUCGGUUGGCAUGUAGAUCAUGUCUGUCUUACUUGUUACGGCAAAUGUGACGUGUCCUCCUCAUCCUGCGCCCUGCUGCAUCAUGCUGCCUAUGCUCACUCAUUUUCAUGCAGAGUGAAAGUCACAGGCAAAAAGCUCAGCAAGCUGACACCUAACUCAAGUUUAGAUCUGAUGUGACAGAAACUUCCUGUUGUUGGUAUUGUUUCCAACUGUGAGUUCCAUUCUGCACCAUAAAUCGGGCUAAUGCCCAAUGAAAAUAAAGAUAACCCCUAUUCCAUGUUGUUCCCACUCUGAGAGAUACUGAUAGGUAUGGGAAUGCAAUAAGAGCUCAGAGUAGGAUGCAGGAGAUUCAAAGAAAAUAGAAAUACAGGACUCUUACUCAUAUGGAUCUGUAAAUAUUCACACUUAACAACUUCGUAUGUUGAAAUACGCAACCAAAUGUAAUAGGAAUGAUCAUUACAUACUCAAGUAUAGAUUUCUUAACCUGUCACUUAAAUAGGUGUAGAAUAGGUAUGAGCAGAAUUUUUCACAGUGAUCAGCUAUAGUGCUUCUCACUGAAAUUGGUGGGAGACUUUUGGUUUUGGUAUUUUGUGUUUGGUUUUGGUUUGUUUGUUUGUUCGUUUCAAUUGACU
Gallus gallus (chicken) is the source of this 1995-nucleotide long non-coding RNA. The record is from Ensembl. Lineage: Eukaryota; Metazoa; Chordata; Aves; Galliformes; Phasianidae.